RNAcentral lists this long non-coding RNA (593 nucleotides) under Ictidomys tridecemlineatus (thirteen-lined ground squirrel). Its description in RNAcentral is "lncRNA (ENSSTOG00000031662.1)". Lineage: Eukaryota; Metazoa; Chordata; Mammalia; Rodentia; Sciuridae. The record is from RNAcentral.
CACCAAGGACUGCACAGCAAAUUCCUCCCACAAGCAGGGUUUAUCGCUCCCUUCCUAGUAGUGACUUAAUCCUUUAAUUCCUUUCAAUGCCAAAAACUAGGAUUUCCUGAGGACUGCCACAGGAUGUGCAGCAAGCAGCAGGGGCCAAGGCUUAACGUUGUUGAUUCAAUAUAAUCAGAAGUUUAAAAAAUGGUUGCUAAUGCACAGCCAGAAACAGAGGGCAUUAAACAAAAGGAAGAAAAGAGGCCAAGUACCUUUGAAAAAAUAAGGAACUGAGCUUGAAAGGGUGCAGACUUACAGUCAGGACAGAAAUCUUUUUUUUGGGGGGAGGGUGCAGUGCCAAGGAUGGAAUCUGAGGCCUAAGACAUGCUAGGCAAGUGCUCUACCACUGAGCCACAUCCUCAGCCUGGGAUAAAAAGUCUUAAUUUGUCCAAAGACUGUUCUACUAUCCUCUGGUGGGGCUGGAACAUAUCACAAGCCAUUGCUGGAGAGAAACAAAGGGAGGAGGAAAUACACUGUGUGCAUCAUGGUCAAGCAUCAAGAUCGACAAAGAUGGAGAAUAAAAUGUGCACACCGGUAAUCUCAGCGGCUCA